Molecule: long non-coding RNA, 1094 nt
Filed under: Nicotiana tabacum (common tobacco)
Lineage: Eukaryota; Viridiplantae; Streptophyta; Magnoliopsida; Solanales; Solanaceae
Description: long non-coding RNA (NTAB_LNC002199)
Source: RNAcentral
UUCCCCGUCCGAUGUUCGGUAUCUGCAUUGGAGCCCCAAUUAUAUUUGAAUUCCCGCCACGUAGGGUUUUUCCAUACCCAGGACUCGAUCCCGAGUUCUCUAGUUAAGGAAAGAGCAGUCUCAUCCACUGCACCACAUCCUUUGGUAAAACCUAACAUUUGCAAUAACAUACACAUGGCUUUUAACAAUACAAGUAUCACCAAAAUAACGUUUACAUGUAUUGAAUUAAUAACAUAAAUGAGCUAUUACAACUAACAAGAACUAUUGUGGGACUAAAUUUGACAUGCUAUAAUAAGGGUUUAGAUCAAUUCACAACUAAUUAUCUGUUUCACCUUACGAAAGUAGCUUUAGUUGGAGCAUAGUAAAAUCCAUAUCUCAAAUUAAAAAGGCUAGCUAGUGAUAAAAUAAUCAAAGCCAAGAAACAUCAUAAAUAGCUUUGGCGCAAGAUCUCAUAGUAAGUGGAAGCUGCAACAGCAAAGCUAUGAUUUUCAUCAAAAGUAUCAAAAUUUAACUAAAUAAAUACAUAAGUCAGUUAAGAUGGGUCAAUACAUAGUAGUAUAUAUACAUAAAAAUAAUACAUAGUAGUAUAUAUACAUAAAAAAUUAUUUUUAACUGUAUAAACCGUACUCCCUCCGUUUUUAGUGUGACCCAAUUGUCUAUUAAACAAUUUACCUGAUAAAUCACUGCACCCAAUGAAAUAAAUUCACAUAAAAUAUAAUGAGUAUAAUUUUUCAUAUCAACCUUUUACAUAAAAGACACAAUUUUCCAGACAAGAAGGACUGGAGGAAGACAAUUUUCACUUGGGCCGCUGUCAAUUUGAAAUAGGGCAGGAGGCCCAAACGUUUGGACUUAGGAUCGGGUAGGGGCCGCGCGAACGCAGGCCCCUACUACCACAAAUUAUGACGUAGGCUCGGCCACUUGGGCCGACCUUAGGCUAGCACCCCUCCAAAGUGCAAUGGAGGUCACUAGCCUAGGCCAUGGGUCUUGUUGAUCGCCCAUUGACCCCGUCCAGGUAAGUAUGUUUUUCUGUCAGCCCAGCCCAACUUUUAUUCACCAGCAUUUGCUCAUUCUAAGUUUGUAUUUGCCGAUGUGGG